This 469-nucleotide ribosomal RNA is filed under the name uncultured bacterium. RNAcentral describes it as "bacterial SSU rRNA". It matches the Rfam family "Bacterial small subunit ribosomal RNA", at positions 8 to 507 of the family's 1533-position model. The record is from RNAcentral.
AGAGUUUGAUCAUGGCUCAGGACGAACGCUGGCGGCAUGCCUAACACAUGCAAGUCUAGGGGUAGCAAUACCACUGGCGCACGGGUGAGUAACACGUGGGUUAUCUGCCCCCAUCACAGACAUAACCCCGGGAAACCGGGGCUAAUAUCUGAUGAGGUCGCGAGAUCAAAGCUUCGGCGGAUGGGGAUGAGCCUGCGGCUGAUUAGCUAGUUGGUGAGGUAAUGGCUCACCAAGGCGACGAUCAGUAGCUGGUCUGAGAGGACGAACAGCCACACUGGAACUGAGACACGGUCCAGACUCCUACGGGAGGCAGCAGUGAGGAAUAUUGGUCAAUGGGAGCAAUCCUGAACCAGCAAUGCCGCGUGUGGGAUGACAGGGCUUCGCCUUGUAAACCACUGUCGGACGGGACGAAAGGAGGCCUCGGGCCUCUGGGACGGUACCGUCAAAGGAAGGGUCGGCUAACUACGUG